Molecule: ribosomal RNA, 253 nt
Filed under: uncultured bacterium
Lineage: Bacteria
Description: partial 16S ribosomal RNA
Rfam family: Bacterial small subunit ribosomal RNA
Source: RNAcentral
UACGUAGGGUCCGAGCGUUGUCCGGAAUUAUUGGGCGUAAAGAGCUCGUAGGCGGUUUGUCGCGUCUGCUGUGAAAUCCCGAGGCUCAACCUCGGGCCUGCAGUGGGUACGGGCAGACUGGAGUGCGGUAGGGGAGAAUGGAAUUCCUGGUGUAGCGGUGGAAUGCGCAGACAUCAGGAGGAACACCGAUGGCGAAGGCAGUUCUCUGGGCCGUAACUGACGCUGAGGAGCGAAAGCGUGGGGAGCGAACAGG